This is a long non-coding RNA of Tribolium castaneum (red flour beetle), 849 nucleotides long. RefSeq lists it as uncharacterized. The record is from RefSeq and is a predicted model, not a curated record. NCBI's taxonomy places the organism in Eukaryota, Metazoa, Arthropoda, Insecta, Coleoptera, Tenebrionidae. The transcript is spliced from 2 exons.
GUUCCGAGAGAUGCUUUCGAAUCUGCAAAAGCGCAUUAUUUCAACCGUUGAACCGGCAGACAAUAGACGUAUCGUACUUUUUCCUCUUGCAGGAAGCAAUGCAUUGCUUGUGUUACAUCAGUCGCAUGGAUUGAAUUGUGGCGAUUUAUCGCAAUUGAAACACCGAGUACUUACUGAAAAGUUUCCAUACACGGACUACGUCCAACUGGAAGUAAUCCAACAAUCCGUACCAAUGGAACAAAUGGACACAAAGGACAGGCAGUGCUCGGCCGCCGGCCACGGUCUCCAACGUAAAAGCGUUGAAGCCCCACAGGCCAACUCGGUCCAAAAUUCGCUGCAAUUUCCACAAACAAAACAUCAGGAAAAUCCUUAAUUAAACAUUAAUUUAUUAAAAAUAGUAGACAGACGUGCGUGGUCUUCAUAUAAACUCGUUGAAAACAACACAAGUACCCACAGGGAGAAUUAAAAGUAUGGAAAUAAGAGCUGUUGUCUUAACUAUUCAUAUUCUAAAGUAACUCAUUGGUGGACUUUAAAGUACAAAAAAAUGUUAACGUUAGAUUGAAAAAUUAAAAUAAUAAAAUUUAUUACACUUUUCUUGAAUGAAACAAAUUUUUAGUUUAGUUCGUUAAGACCUUCCUUUAGCUCCUUCAAAAGUACAAUACAUUCAGAGCUUUUCUUCGUGGUUUCUCUGUGCUUCAAAGUAGAAGCUUUGGGACUUUUUAUCUAUGUAUAAGUUUGACUAUUGUUGUUAUAAUAAAGGGCUUUAUUUUUCGGUCCUUGUCUUAUUGAUAUUGUGAGUUAUUUUUAAUGAUUUCAUGCUAACUAUUAAAAAAAUGUUUUAUAAUGUUU